UUGAACGCUGGCGGCAUGCCUUACACAUGCAAGUCGAACGGUAGAGGGGCAACCCUUGAGAGUGGCGAACGGGUGAGUAAUGCAUCGGAACGUGCCCAGUCGUGGGGGAUAACGCAGCGAAAGCUGUGCUAAUACCGCAUGUGAUCUGUGGAUGAAAGCAGGGGACCGCAAGGCCUUGUGCGAUUGGAGCGGCCGAUGUCAGAUUAGCUAGUUGGUAGGGUAA
This 223-nucleotide ribosomal RNA is filed under the name uncultured bacterium. Its description in RNAcentral is "partial 16S ribosomal RNA". It matches the Rfam family "Bacterial small subunit ribosomal RNA", at positions 30 to 260 of the family's 1533-position model. The record is from RNAcentral.